This is a long non-coding RNA of Hirundo rustica (Barn swallow), 3556 nucleotides long. RefSeq lists it as uncharacterized. The transcript is spliced from 3 exons. NCBI's taxonomy places the organism in Eukaryota, Metazoa, Chordata, Aves, Passeriformes, Hirundinidae. The record is from RefSeq and is a predicted model, not a curated record.
UCCAGUUCUAAGUAAAUAUUUUAAGCUCCGAGGAGCGUGGCUCUCUGCUUUCCACUCUCCUGGCUUCCUUGAGGACAGCAUGGGCUCCACCAAUUUCCACUGAUGGGCUUCAGAUCAGCUCCAGAUUUCUUUCUGGCCUUUCAUUCUGGUGGAGAACCACUUUUUGGCUAUUUAGAGAGAGGAAAGGAGCCUCAGGGAAUCUCCUUUUUCUCUUUGAUGAUGGAAAACAGGCACUUUCUUUAUCUUUUAUGCCUUGGUGCAGCUGAAAGGUGCUGGAGCAGACCCUGGAAAGGGAAGAUCCUGCAGAAAGAGGAGAGGAUGAGCCCAUCCUUCCUGGAAAGGGUGGAGCAGGGUGGCAUCUGGCUCUUCAGGAUGUCAUGGAACACCACCCAUCAGAUCCUGGGGAUGACUUCAGGAUGGAACACCACCAAAGGAUGACAUUUGACUUGGAUUUUUAAAGUUCUAGGCAGAGCUUCUGCUCCGGGUCUGGUUGGUAACUGAGUUCGUAAUUUUGGCUUUCCCUGCUUGGCCACAAGCAGUGUGCUUUGAAAUGGGACGAUUCAUGAGGCAGUACUGGAGUUUUUCCCACCUCCUUCUCCUUAGUGCCUUCCCUUUCCUGCAUUUCUUGUGCUCCUUCAGGCUUUAUUGCACUGGUCAGGAAAGAUGGAUUUGAAAUAGCCGCAGCUUUACUUUGAAGACUGCUGCAUUAAAAAGAGCUGCUUAACUCCCUUUCUGUCAAGCUUAUGAUACUAAAAUCAAUAAUUCUCCCCCUUUUCCAACUGGUUUUACUGGUGUGAGCUGUGGAGAAGGGACUCGCCGUGACUGCAAUGCACUUGGCACCUGAGCAGAGAAAGGGCAGGUCAUGGAUAAAGACUGGACAGUUCUUCUCCUUGCUGCGACCUCUCCUGAUGGCUCAAAAAUUCCCAGGAGAUGAACCAGCUGCUCUAGGUUGGAAAUGGGCAAAAGCUCCCGCUAGGAGAGCUUGGCAGGGACAGAAGAAGAUGAUGUCCAAGCACCACUAGAUGUUGUCAUUACCCACAGCUUGUUCUGGAGGAUGCAUUCAUUAGAUCCUCAUGGGACAGCUUUGCAGCUCCUGGAAGAGCAGAAAGGCUAACUUCAGUGAAGGCAGUGGUACAGUGAGCCAGGAGAAGACUUCAUCCUGGAGCUGCAGUGAGUACAACCUGGACUGUAAACCAAAAGCUGCAGAGAGUUAUUACACACACGUGCACACAACAGAGCUCAGAGCCCGGCCACUGAGACCCUUCCUUGGGGAUCCAUAUAAAAUACCUCUCACAAAAGCUGCCCUGUGUGGAAGCAGAGGAACUACUGCUAGUGACGUUAAAAAUGAUUCAAAAUGAUUAAAAAAAAAAAAAAAAAAAAAAAUCCCACAACCCCUUUUCCACACACAUCCAAGUGGUGUAACUCUUAUCUUGCUGCCAGUCUGUUGGAGAUACCAGCACAGCUAAACAGCACACACCAUACAGGACACUAAAAACGCUGCCUGGGAAGGGCUUUUCAGUCGCUUCUCUGAACUGUGCCAAUGUAAAAAAUGUCCCCUUUGUCGUGGUGGUGAAUGAAUCCUCUUGUUCCCCUUUUUCCCUGGAUUUAUGUUAACCCUGGCUUUCAGCCGAGUUUGAUCUGCUCACUUUAUUGUAUUGCAAACAGUAGUCAAUGGCUCUUCAGCUUGAGAUCGCCUGGAUUUAUUUUCAGGUCAAGUCAACUCUCCUUGACCCAAGUCUGAACCAAAAUACAUUCCCAGAAGAUUCCCCCACAGGAUAUGGGAUCCAAAGACAGAGUGACAUUGUAAUGAGUUCAAGGUUUUGGCUCAGUACAACAGAGCCCCUGUUGGUGCAGGGAAGGCACUGGGCAAUCCUUAUUUCAGCAGAUUUUGUCACCCAUCAGUCACUUCCCUUCACUGAGCAGUAUCACACCAUGCAACCCCAGGAUGGUUUGGAUUGGAAGGGACCUUAAACGUCAUUUUGAUUCGUAAGCAGGGACAUCUUCUAUUAGACCAGCCCAAACACACUGCUGGUGCUCGUGGUCUGCAGGGGAGCCAGUCCUUAUGGAUGUGUUUGCGUGGCUCUGACAUGAUGCCUGCGUGGAAUUUGCUGUGCAGGCUUUAAGCAACUGAUGAGAUGGUCGGCAUUCUUUUGAUAUUUUUUUGUAAGGAAAAGUGGGAUGUGUUUUGGGGACUGCCUGGCGCAGCGGCAGAACCAGCUGAUACUGUCAUGAAGUGUAAAACACUGCUUUGAAGAUUUGGGAAUGAACUCAUGGAUUUAGCCUGGGUGAUAAAUCUUCCUUCAAAAUAAGGCAGCCUUAUGUUUGGUACAAAAGACUGUUUAUUUCUUCUACGGGAGAAAAAAAAAAAAAAAGAAAGAAAAGAAAUGGUGUAAUCAGCUAGGAUUAACUUUCCAGGGGCCCUGGACAGAAACUGAAGCCCAUAUUGCUUCCUUCUCAUGCUCGCAUUGGAUAAGCUGAGAAGUUUAAAACCUCUCUGGCUUCCUAUGGUUUUAGGCUAUGAGUUGCUGCCUGUGUGCCUUGAACCUAAAGCCAUUGCUAAGGACCCCAGCAGCAGAAAUUAAAUGUCCAAGUGUUUGGCUGGUAUGAACUGCCUGUUUCAACUAGGAGCCUGGCCCAGGUGUGGAAAAAAAUAGGGCUUUAUUCCUGCUUUCCACCUCCAAGAGGUAUUGAAUCCACAUGGCAAAUACACAACUAAGGUCCAUCUGCCUUAAUGCUGCAUUGAGUCUUUGUGGUUCAGGUGCACCGCCUUUGUUGUUCUGCCUGCUCGUGGUUAAUGUUUCAUCAGCCCUUUUUUAGUUUAUCUUUUUAUUUUAUCUCAUGUAAUUAGCUAGGAACAGCCCCGUGUGCGGUUUGGUGAUGCUUCAGAUUUCACACCUUGUUGGGAUGGAUGCUGUGAAAGCUGUCAGUGAGAGAGCGGGGCAAAGGGAAGGAGGAGAGUGGGAAGUCCUGCAGGAGCUUGGAUGUGUGAGCGCUCUUGGACAGAGUGGUCUAUGCAGUCUGAGUGAUAAGCAAAUCCCAUCUUUUCUGAUGGGUCAGGUUGGGUUAUCUGUGCCUGAGCUGGCUGAGAGUGUGACGGGGUCAAACAGGCAUCGAUUGUUUUAUGGCGCAAGAGCUGCUCAGAGGUCCCUGUUAUCUUGUGUGGGGAGCUUAAACUGUCCUCUCCCCUUGUUCCUCUGGAAUAAACUCCUUUGGAUGCUGAGGUAGCACAGGGGAAGGCCAUGAGCACGAGCAGUUACCAUACACUGAGCUGUGUGUUUGCUGAAAACCUUCCUGCAGCUAUUCCCUGAGGAUUUUUCUACAAUCCCCAGGUUUCUCCCGAGGAAAGAUAUGUUCCAGGAGACAGGUAGGGAAGAAAAAAGAGAGCAGGGAUGCUCCUCCUUACAAGAUUUGUGUGGACAGGGGCCUGCAGCCAGUCCCAUCCCACACUGUGGAAGCUGCCUUUGUGAGGAGACCUUGCUGUGUGCAAGGUGUCUGCCAGGAAAGGUCUGUCGGGGGAGACAGGACUUUAUUUGCCUCCAUAUGAUGGAAUUUAGGC